This 468-nucleotide ribosomal RNA is filed under the name uncultured bacterium. RNAcentral describes it as "partial 16S ribosomal RNA". It matches the Rfam family "Bacterial small subunit ribosomal RNA", at positions 28 to 507 of the family's 1533-position model. The record is from RNAcentral.
GACGAACGCUGGCGGCGUGCUUAACACAUGCAAGUCGAACGGAAAGGCCCUGCUUUUGUGGGGUGCUCGAGUGGCGAACGGGUGAGUAACACGUGAGUAACCUGCCCUUGACUUUGGGAUAACUUCAGGAAACUGGGGCUAAUACCGGAUAUGAGCUCCUGCUGCAUGGUGGGGGUUGGAAAGUUUCGGCGGUUGGGGAUGGACUCGCGGCUUAUCAGCUUGUUGGUGGGGUAGUGGCUUACCAAGGCUUUGACGGGUAGCCGGCCUGAGAGGGUGACCGGCCACAUUGGGCCUGAGAUACGGCCCAGAAUCCUACGGGAGGCAGCAGUGGGGAAUAUUGCACAAUGGGCGGAAGCCUGAUGCAGCAACGCCGCGUGCGGGAUGACGGCCUUCGGGUUGUAAACCGAUUUCGACUGUGACGAAGAGUGAGUGACGGUAAUGGGUAAAGAAGCACCGGCUAACUACGUG